Molecule: long non-coding RNA, 1078 nt
Organism: Daktulosphaira vitifoliae (grape phylloxera)
Lineage: Eukaryota; Metazoa; Arthropoda; Insecta; Hemiptera; Phylloxeridae
Exons: 4
Source: RefSeq, a predicted model, not a curated record
UCAUUUUGUAAUGUGGUAUAAAUCAGUUAACAAGUCUUACAAUAAAUAUUUAAUGAAGAUAAUGUAAUUGAAGAAGACAUUUUAUAAGAACUUACAAAAAUGUGCGCAAUUUUUUAAUAAAAAGAAAGGCACACAAGGGCCUUCAAAAUGUUUGUUAAUAGAGGAGGUUAAGUCUUCAAUAAAAAAUACUACAAAGGUUUUGUUAAGUGUUUCCGAAGAAAUUAAAACUACUUCCGAAGAGACAAAAUACGCUACGGAAGCUACCAAAACCAGUUCAGAAGUGAUUCAAAAUUGUAUUGACCAAUUCAAAAAAGAUUUGGAGGGAUACAUUUGUUCCUAUAAAAAUGAUGCAAUGAUCGAAUCGGAUUCAUGCAUGACAUCUACAUUUGUUAUAGGCGACCAGAUUAGUGUUGAUAAUUCAACUGAUCCUUUUACUGGUAUAGCAUCUGAACCCGUAAUAGAGGAAACUCACAUAAUUGGAAAAAAUGAGGUUGCUAUGUCUUGUCCGUUAGAAGGUCAUAUUUUGGAUUAUCCAAAUGAUAAUAAGAAAGGACGAUUGUCCAAUUCACUAAAUGGACUACGUUAUGAACUCAAUUUAGUGAAAUAUCGUUGAUGCAUUAUUCCAGAACAGCACGUUUUUCGCUAUCCUCAUCAACUCUACCUCACGCAAUAGAUGUUAAAAUUAUGGGAUAUUACGAAAAAGUUUACAUGGAAAGCAAUCGACUAGUUGGUUACAUAAUUUGGACUUCUGGUGAUAAUCAAUAUGGUUUGAUAGGAUCAUAUUUCAAUGGAUGUCGAUACAAUUUUUUAUAUGUAAAGAUCUAAUUUCUAUGUUUUCGAUUUUAAAAAGAAAGACAAUUGUGACAUUUCGUCUCAAUGUUUCCUGUGAUUCUCCGAAGGCAAUCAAAAUCAAAAUACAAGAUAAGUUGAAAAAUUUUACUAUAAUACCUGGUCUAGUAAAUGGAUACACUAGAUGGUACAAUCAUACAGCUAAGCAUUGAUUAAAAUUAAUUAAAUUAUUUUGCAAGAGAUAACCUGAAAAAUGUUAUAUUAAUUGAAUUAACUAAAAUUGUAAGAG